Labrus bergylta (ballan wrasse) is the source of this 670-nucleotide non-coding RNA. NCBI's taxonomy places the organism in Eukaryota, Metazoa, Chordata, Actinopteri, Labriformes, Labridae. The record is from RefSeq and is a predicted model, not a curated record.
UUAUCAAUCUGUGUCGCAGUUUGUUUUUCUCCAUCUAAAGCCCAGAGCCGUGCAGAGACCAGAGUCUGAAGUACUCAGUAUGUCUGACUCAGUGAGGAACCACAGGCUCAACCCGACCUUCUCCCACCUGAAGAUAGAUGGCGCUAAAGCAGCAGAUGAUGAUAAUGAGUCAGGAUUCUUAUCUGUCAGUCAUAACAGAUCGUUCAGUCCAUCUUAUCCAUUCGGCGGCCGCUGUCAGUCAUUUGAGCUAAGAAAUGAUUUCCAAAACAUGUACCGUGAUGACGACCAAUCGACAUGUCCAUCUCGUGAAUCCACCUGCAGUACUCAGUCACAUACCAAAUAAUUAAUUUCCAAAACUGGGGUUUGCUAGGGCAACUUCUGCAGGAAGUGAUGGGCAUCGUUUUUCGGCCCUUCUCCCACCUGAUUGGAUGGAGGAGAUGAAGAAGAAAGAGGAGGAUGAAGAGGAAGAGGAUGAAGAGGAGACUAAAUCAGUGAUCUAAAAGUCUGAACUUUGUGUCUGGACUUUGGGCUGACUGGUUGUUUGAAAACCAUGUUGAGUAUAAUGAUCUGUAGCUCUUUUUGUGACAGCUUGAUUUGGAUACUUAUGGAUAAAACAAAUGUAAAUGAUAAGAUUUGUUAGUGACAUAAGAUGAUGAAGUCAACUCAGCCU